UAGUUUUGUCCUAAGUCAAACUUCUCUAACUUUGACCAUGUUUUUCAAAAAAUACAUUAACAUCUACAAGUACAAAUAAAUGUGCUAUCAAGACAUAUUUCUUGGAGAAUCUAAUGAAACAUAUUUGACGUUGAAACUAUUGGUGCAUUUUCUAUAAACUUGGUCAAAGUUAGAGAAGUUUGACUGACAAAGCUAA
MicroRNA precursor from Sorghum bicolor (sorghum), 196 nucleotides. It matches the Rfam family "MIR1435 microRNA precursor family". The record is from Rfam. NCBI's taxonomy places the organism in Eukaryota, Viridiplantae, Streptophyta, Magnoliopsida, Poales, Poaceae.